Molecule: long non-coding RNA, 173 nt
Filed under: Mus spicilegus (steppe mouse)
Lineage: Eukaryota; Metazoa; Chordata; Mammalia; Rodentia; Muridae
Description: lncRNA (ENSMSIG00000019617.1)
Source: RNAcentral
CAUGGCAGUACUCAAAGGUAUUGUUUAGUAAAUAUGCUUUUCCAUCUUUUAUUUUUUUAGCAUGGAAGGGGAAUAAACUGGACUGAAGGACCUUUGGUGAUCUCGCAGGGUUUUCCUUGGACCACAACAAAAUCUGCCUUCUAGAGCUGUGAAUAUGAAAUAAAGUGUGGAGA